Molecule: long non-coding RNA, 1304 nt
Filed under: Ursus maritimus (polar bear)
Lineage: Eukaryota; Metazoa; Chordata; Mammalia; Carnivora; Ursidae
Description: lncRNA (ENSUMAG00000000621.1)
Source: RNAcentral
GACUCAGAGCUGCCAUCCUGGAUCUCACCACCAGAAGCUGCCCAGAAGUUUGGUAUUAGAGGUACUUUGUUGCCCCCUUGUGACAAAAACUCUGAACUGCAGCUUGAACGUGUCUUGGAAGGAAAGUGGGAGGGAGGUGCUCUGACCCAAACUCAAAAGACACUGAACUGUCUGGAAGUCAAGAUGAAGACGAUAGAAUUCUUUGGGUACAGCGUAUUGAUGGCCUUCUCUGGACAUUUUAUACAAAUGGAAUCAUACAAUAUGUUGUCUUUUGCAUACUGAUCUUCCUUCCCUUGGCUUAAUAUUUUCAAGCUUCAAAUAUCGUAUAGUGUAUCAGUAUUUCAUUCCUUUCUUUGGCCAAAUACACCACAUUUUAUUUACCCAUUCAUUGAUAGGCGGACAUUUGAGUUGUUUUCACUUUUGGCUAUUAUGAAUAAUGAUGCUAUGUACAUUCCUUUACUAGUUUUUAUGUAGACAUAUGUUUUCAUUUGUCCUGGCUGUGUGCCUAGGAGUGAAAUUGUUGAGUCACUUAGUAACUCUCCGUUGAGCUGUUUGAGGAACUGCCAGACUGUUUUCAUGACCCUGACAGUGUUGAGGAGUGCAGGCACAGUCUGUCGUUUUUCUUCUGAUUGGACUCUUGUUAUGAGUUUUGAGAAAGAAUACCGUAGAGUUGAAGUGCCCUUCUUGUCACUUCCUAUUUAGGAGGAGGUGAUAUCCACUUGACAUCAAUUCGUCACUGGAGAUGCUGACCUUCAUCGCAGGGUUUAGGGUGGGGUUUGGCUAGUUUCUCCAGUGCACAGUAACUAUUUUCCAUUCACCUUUUCUAUUCUCUGAAGUGAGUCACUAAGUCUGUCCUGCCCUCAGUGGUGGGAGUGAGAUAUGGUUCUCCUCAUGGAGGCAGGGUAUCCACAUAUAUUAUUUGGAGUUACUUAAAGAUACUUUAUCUCAUGGAAUCCAUUUUUUGUUAAUUCAGACGUUUAUAUAUAUGUCCGUAUGGACUCAUGUAUAUGUAUUUUCUCAGGUUUUUUUUUUUUCAAAUGGCUACAUCCCAAAAGAAGGUCUAGCAUCAUGAUUUCUCUGGUGUAGAAAAUGGAUUUUGACUGAACACUCAGGAAACUGCAAAAGAGUUCCUUAACUUCGCCAUUAUAUAUCACCACCUGUUAUCUAGAUAUGGUAUGUUAGACAAUGUUUUUAAGUAAUAUAUUUACCCGUGGCAGAGUUUGGAAUGACAUUACACUUUCAUAUGCUUUUAUUCCAUGAUUGAUUUCCUUGAAAAAGAAAUAAAAACAUAUGACAGAGGUAUU